UAAGCGGAGGAAAAGAAACUAACAAGGAUUCCCCUAGUAACGGCGAGUGAAGCGGGAAGAGCUCAAAUUUGUAAUCUGGCCCUUUCAGGGUCCGAGUUGUAAUCUCGAGAAGUGUUUUCCGCGUCGGACUGCAUACAAGUCUAUUGGAAUAUAGCGUCAUAGUGGUGAGAGCCCCGUAACUGAUGCAGAUGCCCGAUGCUUUGUGAUACACUUUCGAAGAGUCGAGUUGUUUGGGAAUGCAGCUCAAAUUGGGUGGUAAAUUCCAUCUAAAGCUAAAUAUUGGCGAGAGACCGAUAGCGAACAAGUACCGUGAGGAAAGAUGAAAAGCACUUUGGAAAGAGAGUUAACAGUACGUGAAAUUGUUGGAAGGGAAACGCUUGAAAUCAGACUUGCUAUUCGGAAUUCAGCCGCAAGGUGUACUUUUCGAUUUGCAGGCCAGCAUCAGUUUUUGGGGGUGGAAAAGGGUGGAGAGAAGGUAGCAACCCCGGUUGUGUUAUAGCUCUUCACUGGAUUCAUCUUUGGGGACUGAGGAUCGCAGUGCGCAUUUAUUUGCAAACCUCUCGAGGUUUUCGUACUUAGGAUGCUGGUGGAAUGGUUUUAAACGACCCGUCUUGAAACACG
This 621-nucleotide ribosomal RNA is filed under the name Glaciozyma martinii. RNAcentral's name for it is "eukaryotic LSU rRNA". It matches the Rfam family "Eukaryotic large subunit ribosomal RNA", at positions 47 to 663 of the family's 3401-position model. The record is from RNAcentral. Lineage: Eukaryota; Fungi; Basidiomycota; Microbotryomycetes; Kriegeriales; Camptobasidiaceae.